Molecule: long non-coding RNA, 1146 nt
Organism: Oncorhynchus keta (chum salmon)
Lineage: Eukaryota; Metazoa; Chordata; Actinopteri; Salmoniformes; Salmonidae
Exons: 3
Source: RefSeq, a predicted model, not a curated record
UUCAGACGAUCAGUUAGUCCCUCCCUGUUUCAGACCGCUUCGAUAAGUUUGGUGCCAAAGGAAUACGACCUGGGUGUUAUAGAGCCCCACUGUGGAGGUGGUGUCAUAAUACCCAUAACACCUAGCGGGUCAAAACAGGGAAAAGGUUCCAAUCUUUCUCUCACCAUACAUUUUUCCCCCCUAUAGGGGAUUUUAGAAAGAGUUAAAAUAAGGGCUGCGUUUGGUGUAGUUUACCCCAGUGUGACGUUUUAAUUACCAUGUAAAUCUCUCCAGGACAAGGUGACUUUUAUCAAUAUAUCUCCAGGACAAGGUGACUUUUAUCAAUAUAUCUCCAGGACAAGGUGACUUUUAUCAAUAUAUCUCCAGGACAAGGUGACUUUUAUCAAUAUAUCUCCAGGACAAGGUGACUUUUAUCAAUAUAUCUCUAGGACAAGGUGACUUUUAUCAAUAUAUCUCCAGGACAAGGUGACUUUUAUCAAUAUAUCUCUAGGACAAGGUGACUUUUAUCAAUAUAUCUCUAGGACAAGGUGACUUUUAUCAAUAUAUCUCUAGGACAAGGUGACUUUUAUCAAUAUAUCUCUAGGACAAGGUGACUUUUAUCAAUAUAUCUCUAGGACAAGGUGACUUUUAUCAAUAUAUCUCCAGGACAAGGUGACUUUUAUCAAUAUAUCUCUAGGACAAGGUGACUUUUAUCAAUAUAUCUCCAGGACAAGGUGACUUUUAUCAAUAUAUCUCCAGGACAAGGUGACUUUUAUCAAUAUAUCUCUAGGACAAGGUGACUUUUAUCAAUAUAUCUCCAGGACAAGGUGACUUUUAUCAAUAUAUCUCCAGGACAAGGUGACUUUUAUCAAUAUAUCUCUAGGACAAGGUGACUUUUAUCAAUAUAUCUCCAGGACAAGGUGACUUUUAUCAAUAUAUCUCUAGGACAAGGUGACUUUUAUCAAUAUAUCUCUAGGACAAGGUGACUUUUAUCAAUAUAUCUCUAGGACAAGGUGACUUUUAUCAAUAUAUCUCUAGGACAAGGUGACUUUUAUCAAUAUAUCUCCAGGACAAGGUGACUUUUAUCAAUAUAUCUCUAGGACAAGGUGACUUUUAUCAAUAUAUCUCUAGGACAAGGUGACUUUUAUCAAUAUAUCUCCAGGACAA